This 252-nucleotide ribosomal RNA is filed under the name uncultured bacterium. RNAcentral describes it as "partial 16S ribosomal RNA". It matches the Rfam family "Bacterial small subunit ribosomal RNA", at positions 524 to 776 of the family's 1533-position model. The record is from RNAcentral.
UACGGAGGAUGCGAGCGUUAUCCGGAUUUAUUGGGUUUAAAGGGUGCGUAGGCGGACGCUUAAGUCAGCGGUAAAAUUGCGGGGCUCAACCUCGUCGAGCCGUUGAAACUGGGUGCCUUGAGUGGGCGAGAAGUACGCGGAAUGCGUGGUGUAGCGGUGAAAUGCAUAGAUGUCACGCAGAACUCCGAUUGCGAAGGCAGCGUACCGGCGCCCUACUGACGCUGAAGCACGAAGGCGUGGGUAUCGAACAGG